RNAcentral lists this ribosomal RNA (859 nucleotides) under uncultured Verrucomicrobiota bacterium. Its description in RNAcentral is "bacterial SSU rRNA". It matches the Rfam family "Bacterial small subunit ribosomal RNA", at positions 523 to 1380 of the family's 1533-position model. The record is from RNAcentral. Lineage: Bacteria; Pseudomonadati; Verrucomicrobiota.
AUACGGAGACCUCGAGCGUUACUCGGAUUYACUGGGCGUAAAGAGUAUGUAGGCGGUUUGGUAUGUCAGGUGUGAAAUCCCGGAGCUCAACUCCGGAACUGCGCCUGAAACUACCAAACUCGAGGCCUGGAGAGGAGAGUGGAAUUCCUGGUGUAGCGGUGAAAUGCGUAGAUAUCAGGAGGAACACCAAUGGCGAAGGCAGCUCUCUGGACAGGUUCUGACGCUGAGAUACGAAAGCGUGGGUAGCGAAAGGGAUUAGAUACCCCUGUAGUCCACGCCGUAAACUUUGUACACUAGGUUUCGGAGGGCCUACCCCUUCGGAGCUCAAGCUAACGCGUUAAGUGUACCGCCUGAGGACUACGGCCGCAAGGCUAAAACUCAAAGGAAUUGACGGGGGCCCGCACAAGCGGUGGAGCAUGUGGCUUAAUUCGAUGCAACGCGAAGAACCUUACCUAGGCUUGACAUGAAUUGGACGAUUUCCGGAAACGGAUUUCUCUCUUCGGAGCUGAUUCACAGGUGCUGCAUGGCUGUCGUCAGCUCGUGUCGUGAGGUGUUUGGUUAAGUCCAGCAACGAGCGCAACCCCUGUUCUUAGCUGCCAGCACGUUAUGGUGGGGACUCUAAGAAGACAAACCUGUUGUACAGGUGGGAAGGUGGGGACGACGUCAAGUCAGUAUGGCCCUUACGCCUAGGGCUGCACACGUGUUACAAUGGUAUGUACAAAGGGAAGCGAUCCCGCGAGGAGGAGCUAAUCCCAAAAAGCAUAUCAAAGUUCGGAUCGGAGUCUGCAACUCGACUCCGUGAAGUUGGAAUCGCUAGUAAUCGCGGAUSAGCAUGCUGCGGUGAAUACGUUCCCGGGCC